GGUGCGUAACGCGUAUGCAACCUGCCCGGGACAGGAGGAUAAUCCGAAGAAAUUUGGUCCAACACUCCGUAAUACAGACGAAGGCAUCUUUGUCGGUUGAAAACUGAGGUGGUUCCGGAUGGGCAUGCGUGAUAUUAGCUAGAUGGAGAGGUAACGGCUCACCAUGGCUACGAUAUCUAGGGGAACUGAGAGGUUAAUCCCCCACACUGGUACUGAGACACGGACCAGACUCCUACGGGAGGCAGCAGUGAGGAAUAUUGGUCAAUGGGAGGAAUCCUGAACCAGCCAUGCCGCGUGCAGGACGACGGCUCUACGAGUUGUAAACUGCUUUUGUACCGGGGUAAAAUGCCUUACGUGUAGGGUUUUGAAAGUACGGUACGAAUAAGGAUCGGCUAACUCCGUGCCAGCAGCCGCGGUAAUACGGAGGAUCCGAGCGUUAUCCGGAUUCAUUGGGUUUAAAGGGUGCGUAGGUUGUUUUAUAAGUUAGCGGUGAAAUACCGAUGCUCAACAUCGGGGCUGCCGCUAAUACUGUAGGACUAGAGAUCGGAUGCAGCAGGCGGAAUGUGUAGUGUAGCGGUGAAAUGCAUAGAUAUUACACAGAACACCGAUUGCGAAGGCAGCUUGCUAGGCCGGAUCUGACACUGAUGCACGAAAGCGUGGGGGAUCGAACAGGAUUAGAUACCCUGGUAGU
RNAcentral lists this ribosomal RNA (691 nucleotides) under uncultured bacterium. Its description in RNAcentral is "bacterial SSU rRNA". It matches the Rfam family "Bacterial small subunit ribosomal RNA", at positions 105 to 794 of the family's 1533-position model. The record is from RNAcentral.